RNAcentral lists this ribosomal RNA (216 nucleotides) under uncultured fungus. RNAcentral's name for it is "partial small subunit ribosomal RNA". The stretch from base 88 to 216 matches the Rfam family "Eukaryotic small subunit ribosomal RNA", at positions 734 to 864 of the family's 1831-position model. The record is from RNAcentral. Lineage: Eukaryota; Fungi.
GGCCUGGCUGGGUGGUCUGCUGAAAGGCAUGUACUGUCUGGCUGGGUCUUACCUCUUGGUGAGCCUAUGUGCCCUUUAUUGGCGUGCAUGGGGGAACCAGGACUUUUACCUUGAGAAAAUUUGAGUGUUCAAAGCAGGCUUAUGCCCGAAUACAUUAGCAUGGAAUAAUAAAAUAGGACGUGCAAUUCUAUUUUGUUGGUUUCUAGAGUCGCCGUA